UCCUGGGCGCAGUGUUCCAGCUGCAGUACACCUGGUCCCGCUAUUUGAAUCUCGCUGAUCGGCACCAUGGGGGUGGUGGUGAUCAGCGCUAUUCAGGUAGCGGGACCAGGUGUACUGCAGCCGGAACACUGCCAGGA
This 137-nucleotide microRNA precursor is filed under the name Chlamydomonas reinhardtii. Its description in RNAcentral is "miR1157 stem-loop (cre-MIR1157)". Lineage: Eukaryota; Viridiplantae; Chlorophyta; Chlorophyceae; Chlamydomonadales; Chlamydomonadaceae. The record is from miRBase by way of RNAcentral.